This 1277-nucleotide ribosomal RNA is filed under the name metagenome. Its description in RNAcentral is "SSU rRNA". It matches the Rfam family "Eukaryotic small subunit ribosomal RNA", at positions 493 to 1790 of the family's 1831-position model. The record is from RNAcentral.
CUUAUGGAUCUCGUAAUAGGAAUGAGUACAAUUUAAAUCUCUUAACGAGGAACAAUUGGAGGGCAAGUCUGGUGCCAGCAGCCGCGGUAAUUCCAGCUCCAAUAGCGUAUAUUAAAGUUGUUGCAGUUAAAAAGCUCGUAGUUGAAUUUCGGGAUCAAUUUAUCGGUCGUGCCAAUGGUAUGAACUGGUACAAUUGGUUUCUCCCUUCUGACGGAGCAUGAUGUCAUUAAUUUGGUGUCGUGGGGAAUCAGGACUGUUACUUUGAAAAAAUUAGAGUGUUUAAAGCAAGCAUUAGCUUGAAUACAUUAGCAUGGAAUAAUGAAAUAGGACGUUUGAUCCUAUUUCGUUGGUUUCUAGGAUCGACGUAAUGAUUAAUAGGGAUAGUUGGGGGCAUUAGUAUUCAAUUGUCAGAGGUGAAAUUCUUGGAUUUAUUGAAGACUAACUACUGCGAAAGCAUUUGCCAAGGAUGUUUUCAUUAAUCAAGAACGAAAGUUAGGGGAUCGAAGACGAUCAGAUACCGUCGUAGUCUUAACCAUAAACUAUGCCGACUAGGGAUCGGAUGAUGUUAAUUUUUUAAUGACUCAUUCGGCGCCUUACGGGAAACCAAAGUGUUUGGGUUCCGGGGGGAGUAUGGUCGCAAGGCUGAAACUUAAAGGAAUUGACGGAAGGGCACCACCAGGGGUGGAGCCUGCGGCUUAAUUUGACUCAACACGGGGAAACUCACCAGGUCCAGACAUAGUAAGGAUUGACAGAUUGAGAGCUCUUUCUUGAUUCUAUGGGUGGUGGUGCAUGGCCGUUCUUAGUUGGUGGAGUGAUUUGUCUGGUUAAUUCCGAUAACGAACGAGACCUUAACCUGCUAAAUAGCUAGGCUUAGCAUUGCUAGGUCGUCAGCUUCUUAGAGGGACUAUCGGUGUUUAACCGAUGGAAGUUUGAGGCAAUAACAGGUCUGUGAUGCCCUUAGAUGUUCCGGGCCGCACGCGCGCUACACUGAUGAAGUCAACGAGUUCACUCCCUUUGUCGGAAGACAUGGGUAAUCUUUUGAAACUUCAUCGUGCUGGGGAUAGAGCAUUGCAAUUAUUGCUCUUAAACGAGGAAUCCCUAGUAAGUACAAGUCAUCAGCUUGUGCUGAUUACGUCCCUGCCCUUUGUACACACCGCCCGUCGCUACUACCGAUUGAAUGGCUUAGUGAGGACUUCGGAUUGAGCUUCGGAAGCUGUAAAAGGCAUCCGAUUUUUAAAAAGUUGUUCAAACUUGGUCAUUUAGAGGAAGUAAAAGUC